UGCUGCUUCGCUGACGAGUGGCGGACGGGUGAGUAAUGUCUGGGAAACUGCCUGAUGGAGGGGGAUAACUACUGGAAACGGUGGCUAAUACCGCAUAACGUCGCAAGACCAAAGAGGGGGACCUUCGGGCCUCUUGCCAUCAGAUGUGCCCAGAUGGGAUUAGCUUGUUGGUGAGGUAACGGCUCACCAAGGCGACGAUCCCUAGCUGGUCUGAGAGGAUGACCAGCCACACUGGAACUGAGACACGGUCCAGACUCCUACGGGAGGCAGCAGUGGGGAAUAUUGCACAAUGGGCGCAAGCCUGAUGCAGCCAUGCCGCGUGUAUGAAGAAGGCCUUCGGGUUGUAAAGUACUUUCAGCGGGGAGGAAGGUGUUGUGGUUAAUAACCGCAGCAAUUGACGUUACCCGCAGAAGAAGCACCGGCUAACUCCGUGCCAGCAGCCGCGGUAAUACGGAGGGUGCAAGCGUUAAUCGGAAUUACUGGGCGUAAAGCGCACGCAGGCGGUCUGUCAAGUCGGAUGUGAAAUCCCCGGGCUCAACCUGGGAACUGCAU
RNAcentral lists this ribosomal RNA (552 nucleotides) under Salmonella enterica subsp. enterica serovar Enteritidis. Its description in RNAcentral is "bacterial SSU rRNA". It matches the Rfam family "Bacterial small subunit ribosomal RNA", at positions 78 to 626 of the family's 1533-position model. The record is from RNAcentral. Lineage: Bacteria; Pseudomonadati; Pseudomonadota; Gammaproteobacteria; Enterobacterales; Enterobacteriaceae.